RNAcentral lists this ribosomal RNA (432 nucleotides) under uncultured bacterium. Its description in RNAcentral is "partial 16S ribosomal RNA". It matches the Rfam family "Bacterial small subunit ribosomal RNA", at positions 29 to 506 of the family's 1533-position model. The record is from RNAcentral.
AACGAACGCUGGCGGCAUGCCUAACACAUGCAAGUCGAACGAGACCUUCGGGUCUAGUGUCGCACGGGUGCGUAACGCGUGGGAACCUGCCCUUAGGUUCGGAAUAACUCCCCGAAAGGGGUGCUAAUACCGGAUAAUGUCUUCGGACCAAAGAUUUAUCGCCUUUGGAUGGGCCCGCGUUGGAUUAGCUAUUUGGUAGGGUAAAAGCCUACCAAGGCGACGAUCCAUAGCUGGUCUGAGAGGAUGAUCAGCCACACUGGGACUGAGACACGGCCCAGACUCCUACGGGAGGCAGCAGUGGGGAAUAUUGGACAAUGCGCGAAAGCCUGAUCCAGCAAUGCCGCGUGAGUGAUGAAGGCCUUAGGGUUGUAAAGCUCUUUUACCCGGGAUGAUAAUGACAGUACCGGGAGAAUAAGCUCCGGCUAACUCCGU